GAUGAACGCUAGCGGCAGGCCUAACACAUGCAAGUCGAGGGAGAAGCCCUUUCGGGGGCAGAAACCGGCGCACGGGUGCGUAACGCGUAUGCAACCUACCUUUCACAGGGGGAUAGCCCGAAGAAAUUUGGAUUAAUACCCCAUAACAUUAUUGGAUGGCAUCAUUUGAUAAUUAAAACUGCGGUGGUGAAAGAUGGGCAUGCGUCCUAUUAGCUAGUUGGAGUGGUAACGGCACCCCAAGGCUACGAUAGGUAGGGGUCCUGAGAGGGAGAUCCCCCACACUGGUACUGAGACAGGGACCAGACUCCUACGGGAGGCGGCAGUGAGGAAUAUUGGUCAAUGGUCGGAAGACUGAACCAGCCAUGCCGCGUGCAGGAAGAAUGCCUUAUNGGUNUGUAAACUGCUUUUAUAUGGGAAGAAUAAGGCGUACGUGUACGUGA
Molecule: ribosomal RNA, 440 nt
Filed under: uncultured bacterium
Lineage: Bacteria
Description: bacterial SSU rRNA
Rfam family: Bacterial small subunit ribosomal RNA
Source: RNAcentral